This 559-nucleotide ribosomal RNA is filed under the name uncultured soil bacterium. RNAcentral's name for it is "bacterial SSU rRNA". It matches the Rfam family "Bacterial small subunit ribosomal RNA", at positions 81 to 634 of the family's 1533-position model. The record is from RNAcentral.
AACCCUGGCGGCGAGCGGCGCACGGGUGAGUAAUGCAUCGGAACGUGUCCUCUUGUGGGGGAUAACCAGUCGAAAGACUGGCUAAUACCGCAUGAGAUCGAGAGAUGAAAGCAGGGGACCCGCAAGGGCCUUGCGCGAGAGGAGCGGCCGAUGCCCGAUUAGCUAGUUGGUGGGGUAAUGGCCCACCAAGGCGACGAUCGGUAGCUGGUUUGAGAGAACGACCAGCCACACUGGGACUGAGACACGGCCCAAACUCCUACGGGAGGCAGCAGUGGGGAAUUUUGGACAAUGGGGGCAACCCUGAUCCAGCCAUGCCGCGUGUGUGAAGAAGGCCUUCGGGUUGUAAAGCACUUUCGGCCGGAACGAAAUCGCACGGGUGAACAUCCCGUGCGGAUGACGGUACCGGAAGAAGAAGCACCGGCUAACUACGUGCCAGCAGCCGCGGUAAUACGUAGGGUGCGAGCGUUAAUCGGAAUUACUGGGCGUAAAGUGUGCGCAGGCGGUCUCGCAAGUCAAGUGUGAAAGCCCCGGGCUUAACCUGGGAACUGCGCUUGAAACU